Long non-coding RNA from Engraulis encrasicolus (European anchovy), 422 nucleotides. RefSeq lists it as uncharacterized. NCBI's taxonomy places the organism in Eukaryota, Metazoa, Chordata, Actinopteri, Clupeiformes, Engraulidae. The record is from RefSeq and is a predicted model, not a curated record. The transcript is spliced from 3 exons.
UCUCGCUGCGGCCCGCGGGAAGGCGUGGCUAUGACAUCAGUCCCCGCCCAUCAGGCACAGGUGCAUUCUGGGAUUGCUUAGCCCGAUUGAUGCCAGAACACAGGUCUGUGUGCCAGAAACGGUCAUAGAAAUAAUCCCGUGGGUGAAAUUCCGCCAAAAUCGGAUGAUGGGGAGUGAAAGUGAAGAGAAAACAUGCCACUCCGAGGAUACCAAUCUUCACGUUUUGUUUCAUGAGGAAAAUGACUAAAGGUUUCUUACAACAGAUGGACCCAAGGGCCUGGAUGACGGAAAACUCCAGAGAAGGGACCUUGAAUUUCUCUCCAUUAACCUAAUCACACAAGAUGAAGAGCCUCACUUCAGGAUCUGUAUAGCAGAGGAGGACGUGUAAGCUGUAAGGCGUUAAGUUCUGCCAGGAGGAUGAG